Molecule: ribosomal RNA, 251 nt
Filed under: uncultured prokaryote
Description: partial 16S rRNA
Rfam family: Bacterial small subunit ribosomal RNA
Source: RNAcentral
ACGGAGGAUGCGAGCGUUAUCCGGAUUCAUUGGGUUUAAAGGGUGCGCAGGCGGACUAAUAAGUCAGCGGUGAAAUACUACGGCUUAACUGUAGCUGUGCCGAUGAUACUGUUAGACUAGAGAUUAAAUGAGGUUGGCGGAAUGUGUCAUGUAGCGGUGAAAUGCAUAGAUAUGACACAGAACACCGAUAGCGAAGGCAGCUGACCAAUUUAUAUCUGACGCUCAUGCACGAAAGCGUGGGGAUCAAACAG